This 429-nucleotide ribosomal RNA is filed under the name Chloroflexota bacterium. Its description in RNAcentral is "Chloroflexi bacterium partial 16S ribosomal RNA". It matches the Rfam family "Bacterial small subunit ribosomal RNA", at positions 355 to 776 of the family's 1533-position model. Lineage: Bacteria; Bacillati; Chloroflexota. The record is from RNAcentral.
UGGGGAAUAUUGCACAAUGGGCGCAAGCCUGAUGCAGCCAUGCUGCGUGUAUGAAGAAGGCCUUCGGGUUGUAAAGUACUUUCAGUCGGGAGGAAGGUGGUAAGGUUAAUAACCUUAUCAAUUGACGUUACCGACAGAAGAAGCACCGGCUAACUCCGUGCCAGCAGCCGCGGUAAUACGGAGGGUGCAAGCGUUAAUCGGAAUUACUGGGCGUAAAGCGCACGCAGGCGGUUGAUUGAGUCAGAUGUGAAAUCCCCGGGCUUAACCCGGGAAUUGCAUCUGAUACUGGUCAGCUAGAGUCUUGUAGAGGGGGGUAGAAUUCCAUGUGUAGCGGUGAAAUGCGUAGAGAUGUGGAGGAAUACCGGUGGCGAAGGCGGCCCCCUGGACAAAGACUGACGCUCAGGUGCGAAAGCGUGGGGAGCAAACAGG